GCCAGUAUGGUGUAGUGGUUUGAGCACUGGACUGUGACUCUGGAGACCAGAGUUCAAAUCCUGGCUCAGCCA
This 72-nucleotide transfer RNA is filed under the name Phrynosoma platyrhinos (Desert horned lizard). Its description in RNAcentral is "tRNA-OTHER". Lineage: Eukaryota; Metazoa; Chordata; Lepidosauria; Squamata; Phrynosomatidae. The record is from RNAcentral.